CCUUCAAUAGCUCAGUUGGUAGAGCGGAGGACUGUAGAUCCUUAGGUUUCUGGUUCAAUUCCAGCUUGAAAGA
This 73-nucleotide transfer RNA is filed under the name Alligator mississippiensis (American alligator). Its description in RNAcentral is "tRNA-Tyr (GTA) (tRNA-Tyr-GTA-6-1)". It matches the Rfam family "tRNA". Rfam says of the family: Transfer RNA (tRNA) molecules are approximately 80 nucleotides in length. Their secondary structure includes four short double-helical elements and three loops (D, anti-codon, and T loops). Lineage: Eukaryota; Metazoa; Chordata; Crocodylia; Alligatoridae. The record is from RNAcentral.